RNAcentral lists this transfer RNA (78 nucleotides) under Cordylochernes scorpioides. RNAcentral describes it as "tRNA-Thr". The record is from RNAcentral. Lineage: Eukaryota; Metazoa; Arthropoda; Arachnida; Pseudoscorpiones; Chernetidae.
UGUCCAGGGAUGGGAAUCGAACCCACAGUGUUCCGCUUACCGGGCAGAUGCCAUGUCCACUAGGCUACCCGUUGUUAC